This 546-nucleotide long non-coding RNA is filed under the name Mytilus galloprovincialis (Mediterranean mussel). Lineage: Eukaryota; Metazoa; Mollusca; Bivalvia; Mytilida; Mytilidae. The record is from RNAcentral.
UCCGUCUAUAUUUUCACUAGCUUUGAAAUAACUUUUAGUAACUGCGAGAACUUUUAUUUCGGUGCUUUGUUUCUAUUGUUUUUAUGUAAGUGAUUUUUGUGCAACGUAUCAACAUUUUUAGUGAAGCCAAUUGCAACUGAUACUUUUUUUCUUGCGGUGUGCUGUCCUAGGUUGGGUUCAUUGGGGAGGGUUGAGUUUAUGGCCACCACAUUGUUUAUGUACCAAUGCCCAUUCCAGAGCCAGGAACGUGUAGUACCGGGUACAGUGGUUGUUGUUGGUUCAUGUCGUUUGAGUAUGUUUUUUUUGUAAAUUAUUUUGUAAUCAAUAAGCCUGUUAGUUUUGUUUGUUUUGUUCCCUAAUUUGUAUGGUCGGAGCAUUUUAUAGCCGACUAUAUAUGUUUGUUUUUUUCAUUUUUGGAGGCCGUACGGUGGCCUUUUAUUACUUGCUACCAGGUCCGUGUAACUCCGGUGGAUAUUUGUAUAAUAAGUGCUAGAUCGUGGUCGACCCUAUAUAUACAACUUUAGGGCAGGCGGGAUAUUUUUGUAG